UGCGCAGGCGGUUUUGUAAGACAGAGGUGAAAUCCCCGGGCUCAACCUGGGAACUGCCUUUGUGACUGCAAGGCUAGAGUGCGGCAGAGGGGGAUGGAAUUCCGCGUGUAGCAGUGAAAUGCGUAGAUAUGCGGAGGAACACCGAUGGCGAAGGCAAUCCCCUGGGCCUGCACUGACGCUCAUGCACGAAAGGCUGGGAGCAAACA
This 206-nucleotide ribosomal RNA is filed under the name uncultured bacterium. Its description in RNAcentral is "partial 16S ribosomal RNA". It matches the Rfam family "Bacterial small subunit ribosomal RNA", at positions 568 to 774 of the family's 1533-position model. The record is from RNAcentral.